AUCUCUUGUCGGCCUUUUGGCUAAGAUCAAGUGUAGUAUCUGUUCUUAUCAGUUUAAUAUCUGUUAGGUCCUCUAUCCAAGGACAAUAUAGUAAAUGGAUUUUUGAAGCAGAGAGAUGGAAUAGGAGCUUGCUCCGUCCGCUCCAUGCUUCCACCUGGUAUUGCAGUACUUCCAGAAAUGGUGUACCUCCU
Molecule: small nuclear RNA, 191 nt
Organism: Echinops telfairi (small Madagascar hedgehog)
Lineage: Eukaryota; Metazoa; Chordata; Mammalia; Afrosoricida; Tenrecidae
Gene: U2
Rfam family: U2 spliceosomal RNA
About the family: U2 is a small nuclear RNA (snRNA) component of the spliceosome (involved in pre-mRNA splicing). Complementary binding between U2 snRNA (in an area lying towards the 5' end but 3' to hairpin I) and the branchpoint sequence (BPS) of the intron results the bulging out of an unpaired adenosine, on the BPS, which initiates a nucleophilic attack at the intronic 5' splice site, thus starting the first of two transesterification reactions that mediate splicing.
Source: Ensembl